AAGCGGUGGAGCAUGUGGCUCAAUUCGAAGCAACGCGCAGAACCUUACCUGGGUUUGACAUGGUCGGAUUAGUCGGUGGAAACAUCGAUGAGGCCCGCAAGGGUACAACGAUCACAGGUGCUGCAUGGCUGUCGUCAGCUCGUGCUGUGAAGCGUCGGGUUAAGUCCCUUAACGAGCGCAACCCUUGUCGUUAGUUACUAACAGGUAAUGCUGAGGACUCUAACGAGACUGCCGGUGUCAAACCGGAGGAAGGUGGGGAUG
Molecule: ribosomal RNA, 261 nt
Filed under: uncultured Planctomycetota bacterium
Lineage: Bacteria; Pseudomonadati; Planctomycetota
Description: uncultured planctomycete partial 16S ribosomal RNA
Rfam family: Bacterial small subunit ribosomal RNA
Source: RNAcentral